UUUGUUAUAAAGGUCCCUCAAUCGACUGAUUCAAUAUAAUCUUAAUCAAAUUUGAGCAAUUUCAAAAUUGCUUUCAAAUGAAGUACAGAUGAGUCUUUAAUGACUUUUUUAAUUCUCAAAAUACUAUAAUUAAUUUUUAAAAAUGACACCACCUCUACCUCCACAUCCAACUCCACUAUCUUCACUACCACCACCACCACCUCCUCCUCCUCCACCACCUUCACCUACAUCUCUUUC
Molecule: long non-coding RNA, 237 nt
Filed under: Prunus persica (peach)
Lineage: Eukaryota; Viridiplantae; Streptophyta; Magnoliopsida; Rosales; Rosaceae
Description: long non-coding RNA (PPER_LNC006484)
Source: RNAcentral